AGGGUUUGAUCAUGGCUCAGGAUGAACGCUGGCGGCGUGCUUAACACAUGCAAGUCGAACGAACCUUCGGGUUAGUGGCGGACGGGUGAGUAACGCGUGAGAAUCUGCCCUCAGGAGGGGGAUAACGGUUGGAAACGACCGCUAAUACCCCAUAUGCCUACUGGUGAAAUGAAUUUCGCCUGAGGAUGAGCUCGCGUCUGAUUAGCUAGUUGGUGAGGUAAUGGCUCACCAAGGCUUCGAUCAGUAGCUGGUCUGAGAGGAUGAUCAGCCACACUGGGACUGAGACACGGCCCAGACUCCUACGGGAGGCAGCAGUGGGGAAUUUUCCGCAAUGGGCGAAAGCCUGACGGAGCAACGCCGCGUGAGGGACGAAGGCCUCUGGGCUGUAAACCUCUUUUCUCAAGGAAGAAGAUAUGACGGUACUUGAGGAAUAAGCCACGGCUAAUUCCGUGCCAGCCGCCGCGGUAAUAC
This 471-nucleotide ribosomal RNA is filed under the name uncultured bacterium. RNAcentral describes it as "bacterial SSU rRNA". It matches the Rfam family "Bacterial small subunit ribosomal RNA", at positions 8 to 526 of the family's 1533-position model. The record is from RNAcentral.